UCUCCGUUGGUGAACCAGCGGAGGGAUCAUUACCGAGUUUACAACUCCCAAACCCAAUGUGAACCAUACCAAACUGUUGCCUCGGCGGGGUCACGCCCCGGGUGCGUCGCAGCCCCGGAACCAGGCGCCCGCCGGAGGGACCAACCAAACUCUUUCUGUAGUCCCCUCGCGGACGUUAUUUUUACAGCUCUGAGCAAAAAUUCAAAAUGAAUCAAAACUUUCAAUAACGGAUCUCUUGGUUCUG
This 244-nucleotide unclassified non-coding RNA is filed under the name plant metagenome. Its description in RNAcentral is "partial contains small subunit ribosomal RNA, internal transcribed spacer 1, and 5.8S ribosomal RNA". The record is from RNAcentral.